This 34-nucleotide ribosomal RNA is filed under the name Rhizoplaca chrysoleuca. RNAcentral's name for it is "partial 26S ribosomal RNA". The record is from RNAcentral. Lineage: Eukaryota; Fungi; Ascomycota; Lecanoromycetes; Lecanorales; Lecanoraceae.
UUGACCUCGGAUCAGGUAGGGAUACCCGCUGAUG